Molecule: small nucleolar RNA, 108 nt
Filed under: Dichanthelium oligosanthes
Lineage: Eukaryota; Viridiplantae; Streptophyta; Magnoliopsida; Poales; Poaceae
Description: Plant small nucleolar RNA R71
Rfam family: Plant small nucleolar RNA R71
About the family: R71 is a member of the C/D box family of snoRNAs containing the C (UGAUGA) and D (CUGA) box motifs. Multiple nearly identical copies of this snoRNA have been identified in Arabidopsis, and it is thought to function as a 2'-O-ribose methylation guide for 18S ribosomal RNA.
Source: Rfam by way of RNAcentral
AUCUCAUGAUGUGGGCAUUGUGCUAACAAAUCCUCAAAUAUUUCCCAUGCUUCACCUAUUGAUUCAUUAGGAUAUUGCUUGAACUCCAUGAUCUUCUUAUGUAAUGCU